This 626-nucleotide long non-coding RNA is filed under the name Rattus norvegicus (Norway rat). RNAcentral's name for it is "long non-coding RNA NONRATT011329". Lineage: Eukaryota; Metazoa; Chordata; Mammalia; Rodentia; Muridae. The record is from RNAcentral.
GCUGAUCUCAAAACACAAUAGGCCGACAGACCAGAAUUCUACUACUGAAAAGACCACUUAAUUUCAAAAGUAAAAAUAGCAACUACCGAACCUCGUGCAGUCAACACGUUAUUAAAUUCUCGGUGGGAUGGGAAACUUUCGGAUAUGACAAUGUGAAGCGUCCCUUAUGGUUCUUUAAAAUGGACUUGGUUCUACCUUGUCUGGACUGGGAACCCAAGCGCAAGACAAAGACAGCGGCAGGGGAAAGUCAAAAGGUCAGCGCCAGGCGCCCCUCUCAAGGCGCGGUCCGCAGGCCCGCGCACUAGCGGCCACCCGGCUCUUCUGGGCGUCGCGGCACUCACGUCCGCACAAAGAAACCGCCCACAGUCAAAACACGCUCCCGGUGGGUGCGGGAGACGUAUGCACGGUCGCGUCGGCCCGACCUCCGCGGGAACACCUCGGAACUUGCCGCCCUCCCGCUCCAUUCCCCCCGCGCGACGUUGAAGCCGGCCGCAGCGGUGAAGCCAGGUCGCCUGGAGUGGACCACGCCCCCCGCUGCCCCCGCCGCCCGCGCUAUUGUUCCCGCGCCACCCCCGCCCCGCGCGCGUUCCCGGGAGGGGGUCACGGCCGGGGAAAGGCGGCGGCCG